CUCAUGCCAUCCUCUUUCCCCUACCCCUCCUAGGCCACCACAGCCCCAUCAUACUCCUUGGCAGCCACCCAAAACCCUGCCUGGAGGCUUCUUGCAGGAGAGAGCCUGGGCUCAGAUUUUGUUAUAUUUUGUGUACGUUGUCUCCUAAUCCUCCCAGCAAACCUGGAGGAUGGGCAUAAGCCAUGAUUACAGACUGGACAGUGGGAUCCUAGACUCUAGUCACUCCCUUGGGGUCUGGCAGCUCCCACACACGGGGCAGGGCUCCAGCCUGACAGCAGAGGCUGUGCCGUGGGAUGACCUGGCAGUGGCCAUAUAUGGAAGGUGCUUGUGUGUGACUUUGAGGCCAGGUGCUCCCCUGGAAGGGCUGACACUGAAUUUGCAUCCUGCCGGCUUGUGUGGGGUGCAGCACUGAGAUUUGUCCCCUGGGGCUUGGGUUUGACUUCGCUCUGCAUGGCCUCCAAGGCCGAUUCCCUAAGUGUCUGAUGGGUGGAACUCCAGGCAGAUUUACUCAUGAGCAGCGCGAGGGCAACUCCAUGCAGAGUAACCCACAUUCUGAUUCAGGGUUUAAGAAAUUUAGAGGGUCACAUGUCACUCAGCAUAGCCUGUCUGAUAACAAGAGGUUGUGUAAUUAUGUUUAGAUUUCUAGGUUGGAAGAAUCCCUUAGGAAGUCAGUGCUGCAGAUAGAACAACUACAAAGUAUGAGAUCAUCACAACAAACAGCUUUCAGCACAAUAAAAAGUUCAGUUUCAAGUAAGUAAAAUCAUGCCAGAAAGAGAACAAAAUAGAGAUGUAUGUUGCUGAAUCACGCUGUAUGCACUGACGCUGGCAUUUUCGUCAUCACUCUUCCAGCAAAACCACACGGAUGCCUGCUGCCACCUCACUCAUCAGCCCCCGACAGUCCGAGAUAGCAGCCGGCCCUGCGAGAAUCUCCGUGAUUAGUCCACCUCAAGAUGGACGAAUGGGCAGCGUCUCCUCCCGGGGCCCCGAGCAUCCCGGCCUGACGCCGAGUCAGAGGAGCAUGGGAAAGCCUCUCAGGAUUCCACCUCUGCAAAUUCCCUACAAGGGACCCCCACUAACGCCAACACCACAGUUACCAGGGAGAGCAGGAAGAGGGGACUCUCCAAGCUUCGGGGGCUCCCAGGCCAGGCUGCCCCCCCGGCCGCCCAUCAGCAUCUCCAGCCUGCUGCAGAGGCAGUGUUUAGGCAAGUGCUCAGCCAGCCUCAGGAAGAAAAUGCUUUUGGGAAACUGCGUGUGUAAAGAAGCUCUUUAA
Molecule: long non-coding RNA, 1270 nt
Filed under: Pan troglodytes (chimpanzee)
Lineage: Eukaryota; Metazoa; Chordata; Mammalia; Primates; Hominidae
Description: lncRNA (ENSPTRG00000053630.1)
Source: RNAcentral